Molecule: unclassified non-coding RNA, 200 nt
Filed under: soil metagenome
Description: partial contains internal transcribed spacer 2 and large subunit ribosomal RNA
Source: RNAcentral
GUUCGAGCGUCAUUUAAACCAAUCCAGCUUGCUGGGUCUUGGGCUUUCGCCUCUGGGCGGGCCUUAAAAUCAGUGGCGGUGCAUCUGGCUCUAAGCGUAGUAAUUCUUCUCGCUAUGGAGUUCCAGGUGGAGGCUUGCCAACCAACCCCUAAUUUUCAAAGGUUGACCUCGGAUCAGGUAGGGAUACCCGCUGAACUUAA